UUAAGCGACUAAGCGUACACGGUGGAUGCCCUGGCAGUCAGAGGCGAUGAAGGACGUGCUAAUCUGCGAAAAGCGUCGGUAAGGUGAUAUGAACCGUUACAGCCGGCGAUGUCCGAAUGGGGAAACCCAGUGUGAUUCGUCACACUAUCGUUAACUGAAUACAUAGGUUAACGAGGCGAACCGGGGGAACUGAAACAUCUAAGUACCCCGAGGAAAAGAAAUCAACCGAGAUUCCCCCAGUAGCGGCGAGCGAACGGGGAGCAGCCCAGAGUCUGAAUCAGCUUGUGUGUUAGUGGAACGGUCUGGAAAGUCCGACGGUACAGGGUGAUAGUCCCGUACACCAAAAUGCACAGGCUGUGAACUCGAAGAGUAGGGCGGGACACGUGGUAUCCUGUCUGAAUAUGGGGGGACCAUCCUCCAAGGCUAAAUACUCCUGACUGACCGAUAGUGAACCAGUACCGUGAGGGAAAGGCGAAAAGAACCCCGGCGAGGGGAGUGAAAAAGAACCUGAAACCGUGUACGUACAAGCAGUGGGAGCACCUUCGGGUGUGACUGCGUACCUUUUGUAUAAUGGGUCAGCGACUUAUAUUCUGUAGCAAGGUUAACCGUAUAGGGGAGCCGCAGGGAAACCGAGUCUUAACUGGGCGUUAAGUUGCAGGGUAUAGACCCGAAACCCGGUGAUCUAGCCAUGGGCAGGUUGAAGGUUGGGUAACACUAACUGGAGGACCGAACCGACUAAUGUUGAAAAAUUAGCGGAUGACUUGUGGCUGGGGGUGAAAGGCCAAUCAAACCGGGAGAUAGCUGGUUCUCCCCGAAAGCUAUUUAGGUAGCGCCUCGUGAAUUCAUCUUCGGGGGUAGAGCACUGUUUCGGCUAGGGGGUCAUCCCGACUUACCAACCCGAUGCAAACUACGAAUACCGAAGAAUGUUAUCACGGGAGACACACGGCGGGUGCUAACGUCCGUCGUGAAGAGGGAAACAACCCAGACCGCCAGCUAAGGUCCCAAAGUCACAGUUAAGUGGGAAACGAUGUGGGAAGGCACAGACAGCCAGGAUGUUGGCUUAGAAGCAGCCAUCAUUUAAAGAAAGCGUAAUAGCUCACUGGUCGAGUCGGCCUGCGCGGAAGAUGUAACGGGGCUAAACUGUGCACCGAAGCUGCGGCAGCGACACUAUGUGUUGUUGGGUAGGGGAGCGUUCUGUAAGCCUGCGAAGGUGGCCUGUGAGGGUUGCUGGAGGUAUCAGAAGUGCGAAUGCUGACAUAAGUAACGAUAAUGCGGGUGAAAAGCCCGCACGCCGGAAGACCAAGGGUUCCUGUCCAACGUUAAUCGGGGCAGGGUGAGUCGACCCCUAAGGCGAGGCCGAAAGGCGUAGUCGAUGGGAAACAGGUUAAUAUUCCUGUACUUGGUGUUACUGCGAAGGGGGGACGGAGAAGGCUAUGUUAGCCGGGCGACGGUUGUCCCGGUUUAAGCAUGUAGGCGGAGGUUCCAGGUAAAUCCGGUACCUUUUUAACGCUGAGGUGUGAUGACGAGGCACUACGGUGCUGAAGUAACAAAUGCCCUGCUUCCAGGAAAAGCCUCUAAGCAUCAGGUAACAUUGAAUCGUACCCCAAACCGACACAGGUGGUCAGGUAGAGAAUACCAAGGCGCUUGAGAGAACUCGGGUGAAGGAACUAGGCAAAAUGGUGCCGUAACUUCGGGAGAAGGCACGCUGAUAUGUAGGUGAAGCCCCUGCGGGUGGAGCUGAAAUCAGUCGAAGAUACCAGCUGGCUGCAACUGUUUAUUAAAAACACAGCACUGUGCAAACACGAAAGUGGACGUAUACGGUGUGACGCCUGCCCGGUGCCGGAAGGUUAAUUGAUGGGGUUAUCCGUAAGGAGAAGCUCUUGAUCGAAGCCCCGGUAAACGGCGGCCGUAACUAUAACGGUCCUAAGGUAGCGAAAUUCCUUGUCGGGUAAGUUCCGACCUGCACGAAUGGCGUAAUGAUGGCCAGGCUGUCUCCACCCGAGACUCAGUGAAAUUGAACUCGCUGUGAAGAUGCAGUGUACCCGCGGCAAGACGGAAAGACCCCGUGAACCUUUACUAUAGCUUGACACUGAACAUUGAGCCUUGAUGUGUAGGAUAGGUGGGAGGCUUUGAAGCGUGGACGCCAGUCUGCGUGGAGCCAACCUUGAAAUACCACCCUUUAAUGUUUGAUGUUCUAACGUUGGCCCGUUAUCGGGGUUGCGGACAGUGUCUGGUGGGUAGUUUGACUGGGGCGGUCUCCUCCCAAAGAGUAACGGAGGAGCACGAAGGUUAGCUAAUCCUGGUCGGACAUCAGGAGGUUAGUGCAAUGGCAUAAGCUAGCUUGACUGCGAGCGUGACGGCGCGAGCAGGUGCGAAAGCAGGUCAUAGUGAUCCGGUGGUUCUGAAUGGAAGGGCCAUCGCUCAACGGAUAAAAGGUACUCCGGGGAUAACAGGCUGAUACCGCCCAAGAGUUCAUAUCGACGGCGGUGUUUGGCACCUCGAUGUCGGCUCAUCACAUCCUGGGGCUGAAGUAGGUCCCAAGGGUAUGGCUGUUCGCCAUUUAAAGUGGUACGCGAGCUGGGUUUAGAACGUCGUGAGACAGUUCGGUCCCUAUCUGCCGUGGGCGCUGGAGAAUUGAGGGGGGCUGCUCCUAGUACGAGAGGACCGGAGUGGACGCAUCACUGGUGUUCGGGUUGUCAUGCCAAUGGCAUUGCCCGGUAGCUAAAUGCGGAAGAGAUAAGUGCUGAAAGCAUCUAAGCACGAAACUUGCCCCGAGAUGAGUUCUCCCUGA
This 2791-nucleotide ribosomal RNA is filed under the name Klebsiella aerogenes UCI 47. RNAcentral's name for it is "bacterial LSU rRNA". It matches the Rfam family "Bacterial large subunit ribosomal RNA". The record is from RNAcentral. Lineage: Bacteria; Pseudomonadati; Pseudomonadota; Gammaproteobacteria; Enterobacterales; Enterobacteriaceae.